RNAcentral lists this transfer RNA (51 nucleotides) under Pseudoniphargus grandis. RNAcentral's name for it is "tRNA-Val". Lineage: Eukaryota; Metazoa; Arthropoda; Malacostraca; Amphipoda; Allocrangonyctidae. The record is from RNAcentral.
AAGAGCGAAAUAUUUCAGUUACGUUGAAUGACACCUUUAUAGGCGUUCUUU